RNAcentral lists this unclassified non-coding RNA (883 nucleotides) under Bradyrhizobium sp. RSA104. RNAcentral describes it as "partial 16S-23S ribosomal RNA intergenic spacer". The stretch from base 223 to 296 matches the Rfam family "tRNA". The record is from RNAcentral. Lineage: Bacteria; Pseudomonadati; Pseudomonadota; Alphaproteobacteria; Hyphomicrobiales; Nitrobacteraceae.
AGCUGCUUCGAUCGAACCGUUUUAGAAACAUCAGUGGCCAACGAUCGUCAGGAUUGUUGAGCUGCAUUGGCGGGAUUUCGCCGUCUACGUUUCUCUUUCUUCGCGGACGAACACGCGCCAGGGGCUUAGCGCUGUGCGAAGGUUUGGCGCUUGUGCGAUGCAUUGGCGUGAGCCGAUUGCGCGCGAGCAUGUCCCUGACCCUUCCAUGGGAAGGAGCGUUAGGGGCUUGUAGCUCAGUUGGUUAGAGCGCGCGCUUGAUAAGCGUGAGGUCGGAAGUUCAAGUCUUCCCAGGCCCACCACUUUGAUCGAGUGCGGGGCAUUCGUCUUCUGGUACGGGGCCAUAGCUCAGCUGGGAGAGCGCGUGCUUUGCAAGCAUGAGGUCGUCGGUUCGAUCCCGUCUGGCUCCACCAGAUGAAAUCGAAGAAUCGAGAUGCCUCGAAUAAUCGUCCGCGAAACAUCACUUCGCACGCGUUGUCCGGAUGGACAGCGACGUGCGUGAUAUCUGACAUCGUAAAGAGGAGAUCGAUCCGAGUUUGGGAUCUGCAAAGCAAUUUGCGGAGCCUCAUUCCUAAUCUCCAGAUCAUUUCGGCGCUCGCUCAUCGCAAGAUGAGCAAGUUGUAAAUGAUCUUUGUAGCGAAGCUUGACCGCCUCGCUAUCGGGUUGAUCUUACGAAGCAAGCUGGUCUUUCUAAUCAUUGUCCGGCCGUACAUAGCAUUCAUCGAGGGUGCGCGUUUUGAGGUUUCGAUCUCAGGGCAAUUGUACGGACAACAUUCUGCCGAGUGUGUGGACAUUGAUAAUGAGAGCAAUCAAGUGCCUUAAGGGUGUUCGGUGGAUGCCUUGGCGCUGAGAGGCGAUGAAGGACGUGCUACGCUGCGAUAAGCCG